CCUUCAUCAAGACCCCCUUCAUCAAGACCGGGUUCAUCAAGACCCCCUUCAUCAAGACCGCCUUCAUUAAGACCCGCAUCAUCAAGACCCGCUUCAUCAAGACCCCCUUCAUUAGGACCCGCUUUAUCAAGACCCGCAUCAUCAAGACCCGCUUCAUCAAGACCCCCUUCAUCAAGAUCCCCUUCAUUAAGACCCGCUUCAUGGAGACCCGCUUCAUCAAGACCCGCUUCAUGAAACAUCUGGCCUGACGUCUCUAACAUCUGGCUCAGCUUUGGCUGGUCAGCAGAGGGGGGGCGGCGCCUCUGCUGGAGAAUCAUGUCCAUAAAAAGUCACAUUGAAACACGUUAUUUUUUGUUGAAAUGUUGAGAAAAUAUUGAAAAAGAAGAAGAUCGAAGAGACUACGACGUAAUAUAACGUGAAUCACUGUAUAAAGUCUGUGUUACUUGUAUCAUAAAAACACCAAAUAACAGUAAAUAUGUGUGUCGAGGAUUGUAUGACCUUAUGAUGUUGUACCACGUGGACCGGAGGUGAUCUCCCAGCAUGCUUUGUGUUGCAGUGCCAGUACGCCUUCCUGCAUCAGUGCGUGCGCGACGUGCUGCGAGCGCGGAAGCACCGCGGCGAGCAGGAGAAGCCGCUGUGUCCCGUGUACGAGAACUUCAACCCCGAGUACUGCCGGGAUUUCAUCUUCAGCGGACGCUGAGCGCAGGAGAGACGGAGUGAUGCUCACAAACAACAACAACAACAACAACAGACAAUACGGCCAGCUGGUUUUAUACACAUUAAAACAGACCAAGGCUGUAACGCGUUAGUCACAAAGAAACAUUUUAGUAGUUUAUUCAUAUUUAACGUCAAUUUGUGACCAGAUGAAAACUUUAAAAAAAAUCACAAUUUAAAACGAUGCCUUUAAAAAAAAAAGGCUGAUCAAUAAAAGUUGUAAUCUGUUUAUUUAUGAGUCACACACAUCGCUGUAUGUAAAUAAUGCUUCUUUAUACGAGUAGACGAGGUUUUCUAUUUAUCACAUUUAAUGAAAAUUAGCUGCAAGAACUUCAUCACGUUGUUGAUAUUUAGACAUAAAGUCCAAUUAGCAGAAAAAGAUUUGACUCUUUUUGAAAUGUAUCAAUAAAUAACUUCAGUUCUGUUAUAUUGAAUUGUGUUAUUAAACAUAAUAUAAACAUUAUGUUGUUAUUAUUAGUGAUUAAAGGUUCAUUUUACUCGGUGUAACAUAUUUAUUGGAUUAUUAAAAGAGCCGAAAAAUAA
Molecule: non-coding RNA, 1257 nt
Organism: Gasterosteus aculeatus aculeatus (three-spined stickleback)
Lineage: Eukaryota; Metazoa; Chordata; Actinopteri; Perciformes; Gasterosteidae
Source: RefSeq, a predicted model, not a curated record